Molecule: ribosomal RNA, 253 nt
Filed under: uncultured bacterium
Lineage: Bacteria
Description: partial 16S ribosomal RNA
Rfam family: Bacterial small subunit ribosomal RNA
Source: RNAcentral
UACGUAGGGGGCAAGCGUUGUCCGGAUUUAUUGGGCGUAAAGAGCGUGUAGGCGGCUGGGUAGGUCCGUUGUGAAAACUCGAGGCUCAACCUCGAGACGCCGAUGGAAACCCUCCAGCUAGAGUCCGGAAGAGGAGAGUGGAAUUCCUGGUGUAGCGGUGAAAUGCGCAGAUAUCAGGAAGAACACCCGUGGCGAAGGCGGGUCUCUGGGCCGAUACUGACGCUGAGGAGCGAAAGCGUGGGGAGCGAACAGG